CCAUGUCCAGGGUGAAGUUCAGGUAACACUGAAUGGAGGCCCGAACCCACGCACGUUGAAAAGUGCGGGGAUGAGGUGUGGGUAGCGGAGAAAUUCCAAUCGAACCUGGAGAUAGCUGGUUCUCCCCGAAAUAGCUUUAGGGCUAGCCUUAAGUGUAAGAGUCUUGGAGGUAGAGCACUGAUUGGACUAGGGGUCCUCAUCGGAUUACCGAAUUCAGUCAAACUCCGAAUGCCAAUGACUUAUCCUUAGGAGUCAGACUGCGAGUGAUAAGAUCCGUAGUCAAAAGGGAAACAGCCCAGACCGCCAGCUAAGGUCCCAAAGUGUGUAUUAAGUGGAAAAGGAUGUGGAGUUGCUUAGACAACUAGGAUGUUGGCUUAGAAGCAGCCACCAUUUAAAGAGUGCGUAAUAGCUCACUAGUCGAGUGACUCUGCGCCGAAAAUGUACCGGGGCUAAAUACACCACCGAAGCUGCGGAUUGAUACCAAUGGUAUCAGUGGUAGGGGAGCGUUCUAAGGACAGUGAAGUCAGACCGUAAGGACUGGUGGAGUGCUUAGAAGUGAGAAUGCCGGUAUGAGUAGCGAAAGACGGGUGAGAAUCCCGUCCACCGAAUGCCUAAGGUUUCCUGAGGAAGGCUCGUCCGCUCAGGGUUAGUCAGGACCUAAGCCGAGGCCGACAGGCGUAGGCGAUGGACAACAGGUUGAUAUUCCUGUACCACCUCUUUAUCGUUUGAGCAAUGGAGGGACGCAGAAGGAUAGAAGAAGCGUGCGAUUGGUUGUGCACGUCCAAGCAGUUAGGCUGAUAAGUAGGCAAAUCCGCUUAUCGUGAAGGCUGAGCUGUGAUGGGGAAGCUCCUUAUGGAGCGAAGUCUUUGAUUCCCCGCUGCCAAGAAAAGCUUCUAGCGAGAUAAAAGGUGCCUGUACCGCAAACCGACACAGGUAGGCGAGGAGAGAAUCCUAAGGUGUGCGAGAGAACUCUGGUUAAGGAACUCGGCAAAAUGACCCCGUAACUUCGGGAGAAGGGGUGCUUUCUUAACGGAAAGCCGCAGUGAAUAGGCCCAAGCGACUGUUUAGCAAAAACACAGCUCUCUGCGAAGCCGUAAGGCGAAGUAUAGGGGGUGACACCUGCCCGGUGCUGGAAGGUUAAGGAGAGGGGUUAGCGUAAGCGAAGCUCUGAACUGAAGCCCCAGUAAACGGCGGCCGUAACUAUAACGGUCCUAAGGUAGCGAAAUUCCUUGUCGGGUAAGUUCCGACCCGCACGAAAGGUGUAACGAUUUGGGCACUGUCUCAACCAGAGACUCGGUGAAAUUAUAGUACCUGUGAAGAUGCAGGUUACCCGCGACAGGACGGAAAGACCCCGUGGAGCUUUACUGUAGCCUGAUAUUGAAUUUUGGUACAGUUUGUACAGGAUAGGCGGGAGCCAUUGAAACCGGAGCGCUAGCUUCGGUGGAGGCGCUGGUGGGAUACCGCCCUGACUGUAUUGAAAUUCUAACCUACGGGUCUUAUCGACCCGGGAGACAGUGUCAGGUGGGCAGUUUGACUGGGGCGGUCGCCUCCUAAAGUGUAACGGAGGCGCCCAAAGGUUCCCUCAGAAUGGUUGGAAAUCAUUCGUAGAGUGCAAAGGCAUAAGGGAGCUUGACUGCGAGACCUACAAGUCGAGCAGGGACGAAAGUCGGGCUUAGUGAUCCGGUGGUUCCGCAUGGAAGGGCCAUCGCUCAACGGAUAAAAGCUACCCCGGG
RNAcentral lists this ribosomal RNA (1733 nucleotides) under Bacillus cereus. RNAcentral's name for it is "bacterial LSU rRNA". It matches the Rfam family "Bacterial large subunit ribosomal RNA", at positions 734 to 2472 of the family's 2925-position model. Lineage: Bacteria; Bacillati; Bacillota; Bacilli; Caryophanales; Bacillaceae. The record is from RNAcentral.